This 124-nucleotide small RNA is filed under the name Flavobacterium sp. 103. RNAcentral describes it as "Flavo-1 RNA". It matches the Rfam family "Flavo-1 RNA". Lineage: Bacteria; Pseudomonadati; Bacteroidota; Flavobacteriia; Flavobacteriales; Flavobacteriaceae. The record is from RNAcentral.
UCUUAGCCCCGAUUGCAGUGGAAAUCCUUAUAAGCCGGGGUUCGGCUUAUAAGAUUACUUCACUAUACUUUUAUUUUCAUAGGAGCUCAGUGAACUUCGUUUGUAACGGAAAGCGGGACUAAUG